Molecule: long non-coding RNA, 228 nt
Filed under: Sorghum bicolor (sorghum)
Lineage: Eukaryota; Viridiplantae; Streptophyta; Magnoliopsida; Poales; Poaceae
Description: long non-coding RNA (SBIC_LNC003280)
Source: RNAcentral
GACGUAAAGUACACAAAAAUCGGAUCUAAAACGAAGAAGUUAUGAUAUAAAUAAGAUUGCCUUCAAUAAAAUAAUAGAUUAAAUCUAAACUCAGAUUUUAAAAAGUUGGAAACAUGUAUAAUAGUGCCACUAAUCUAUAGAUUACGCGAAAACGAAUCUAAUGCAAUUUGAACGGAUCAAAUCAGAGUUAAAGCGGAGUUUUUAUGAGUUAAAUAAGAUCAAUGGCAA